Prionailurus viverrinus (fishing cat) is the source of this 156-nucleotide long non-coding RNA. RefSeq lists it as uncharacterized. The record is from RefSeq and is a predicted model, not a curated record. Lineage: Eukaryota; Metazoa; Chordata; Mammalia; Carnivora; Felidae. The transcript has 3 exons.
UUGUCAGGGAUUAAUGCUUUUGGGAAAUGAACAUGCAGAUCCUGAGGCUUUGGCUGAAAUUCUCCCUGAAACUUGUAAAUCAAUCACGUAUUCUUUAGAAAAUAAGACCUACUCAUCUGUGAGAACAGAAGCUUUCUCUUAUCCACAUCUGACUCU